UAGUCUCAACAUGGGAAACCUCACUCAGCCUGGACACGGACAGGAUAGAUAGAUUGACAGCUCUUUCUCAAUUCUGUGGGUGGUGGUGCAUGGCCGUUCUUAGUUGGUGGAGCAAUUUGUCUGGUUAAUUUCGAUAACAAAUGAGACUUUGAAAUGCUAACUAGUAGAGACCAGGUUUCACCAUGUUGGCCAGGCUAGUCUCAAACUUCUGAUCUCAAGUGAUCCUCCAGUCUCAGCCUCCCAACGUGCUGGGAUUACAGGCAUGAGCCUUCGUGCCUGGCC
RNAcentral lists this non-coding RNA (282 nucleotides) under Chlorocebus sabaeus (green monkey). Its description in RNAcentral is "Eukaryotic small subunit ribosomal RNA". It matches the Rfam family "Eukaryotic small subunit ribosomal RNA", at positions 1195 to 1382 of the family's 1831-position model. The record is from Rfam by way of RNAcentral. Lineage: Eukaryota; Metazoa; Chordata; Mammalia; Primates; Cercopithecidae.